RNAcentral lists this ribosomal RNA (253 nucleotides) under uncultured bacterium. RNAcentral's name for it is "partial 16S ribosomal RNA". It matches the Rfam family "Bacterial small subunit ribosomal RNA", at positions 524 to 776 of the family's 1533-position model. The record is from RNAcentral.
UACAGGGGGGGCAAGCGUUGUUCGGAUUUAUUGGGCGUAAAGAGCGUGUAGGCGGCCAGGUAGGUCUGGUGUGAAAACUCGAGGCUCAACCUCGAGAGGUCAUCGGAAACCAUUUGGCUAGAGUCCGGAAGAGGAGAGUGGAAUUCCCGGUGUAGCGGUGAAAUGCGCAGAUAUCGGGAAGAACACCUAUGGCGAAGGCAGCUCUCUGGGACGGUACUGACGCUGAGACGCGAAAGCGUGGGGAGCGAACAGG